This 69-nucleotide transfer RNA is filed under the name Nucifraga columbiana. Its description in RNAcentral is "tRNA-Asp". The record is from RNAcentral. Lineage: Eukaryota; Metazoa; Chordata; Aves; Passeriformes; Corvidae.
GAGGUGUUAGUAAAACCAUUACAUAGCCUUGUCAAGACUAAAUCACUGGUGAGACCCCAGUACACCUCA